UACGUAGGGUGCAAGCGUUGUCCGGAAUUAUUGGGCGUAAAGAGCUCGUAGGCGGUUUGUCGCGUCUGCUGUGAAAACUCAGGGCUUAACUCUGAGCUUGCAGUGGGUACGGGCAGACUAGAGUGCGGUAGGGGAGACUGGAAUUCCUGGUGUAGCGGUGAAAUGCGCAGAUAUCGGGAAGAACACCCGUGGCGAAGGCGGCUCUCUGGAACGCAACUGACGCUGAGACGCGAAAGCGUGGGGAGCAAACAGG
This 253-nucleotide ribosomal RNA is filed under the name uncultured bacterium. RNAcentral describes it as "partial 16S ribosomal RNA". It matches the Rfam family "Bacterial small subunit ribosomal RNA", at positions 524 to 776 of the family's 1533-position model. The record is from RNAcentral.